GGAAUUUUAAUUAAGGAUGCUAAUUAGUUGAGCCAAAGGGGACUUUUAAUUGUUGGACUUCACUAUUUUAACAGUUGGACCUUGGAAGUCAGCCUCAGAAGGAGGAAGUGACUAAGAGGACAGACAUGGUGGCUAGCUUUAGGAAUGUAAUUUGGUUUUAGGAAGAAAGGGGAAGGGCAAGGCCUGCUAGAGUCAUGUUUGCCUGCUGGAGUCCCUUCAGUAUCUCUGAGUUGAGGCCAGCCUGGUCUACAGAGUGAGUUCUGGGAUAACAGAGAAUCCAAACCAACCAACCAACAAACUAUCUAUCUAUCUAUCUAUUCUUCAAGACAGGGUUUCUUUAUGUAGCCCUGGCUGUCCUGGAACUCACUCUGUAGACCAGGCUGGUCUCAAACUCAGAAAUCCUCCUGUCUCUGCCUCCCAAGUCCUGGGAUUAAGGGUGUGCUCCACCACCUAACAGCUACCUGAGUUCAAUUCUGGCCACCUACAUCAGACUGUUUAUAACCACCUGUAACCUUAGCUCCA
Molecule: long non-coding RNA, 522 nt
Filed under: Rattus norvegicus (Norway rat)
Lineage: Eukaryota; Metazoa; Chordata; Mammalia; Rodentia; Muridae
Description: long non-coding RNA NONRATT014146
Source: RNAcentral